This 490-nucleotide ribosomal RNA is filed under the name uncultured bacterium. RNAcentral's name for it is "partial 16S ribosomal RNA". It matches the Rfam family "Bacterial small subunit ribosomal RNA", at positions 30 to 507 of the family's 1533-position model. The record is from RNAcentral.
AUUGAACGCUGGCGGCAGGCCUAACACAUGCAAGUCGAACGGUAACAGGGAUCAGCUUGCUGAUUCGCUGACGAGUGGCGGACGGGUGAGUAAUGUCUGGGAAACUGCCUGAUGGAGGGGGAUAACUACUGGAAACGGUAGCUAAUACCGCAUAACGUCGCAAGACCAAAGAGGUGGACCUUCGGGCCUCUUGCCAUCGGAUGUGCCCAGAUGGGAUUAGCUAGUAGGUGGGGUAACGGCUCACCUAGGCGACGAUCCCUAGCUGGUCUGAGAGGAUGACCAGCCACACUGGAACUGAGACACGGUCCAGACUCCUACGGGAGGCAGCAGUGGGGAAUAUUGCACAAUGGGCGCAAGCCUGAUGCAGCCAUGCCGCGUGUAUGAAGAAGGCCUUCGGGUUGUAAAGUACUUUCAGCGGGGAGGAAGGGAGUAAAGUUAAUACCUUUGCUCAUUGACGUUACCAGCAGAAGAAGCACCGGCUAACUCCGUG